Molecule: ribosomal RNA, 373 nt
Filed under: uncultured organism
Description: partial 16S ribosomal RNA
Rfam family: Bacterial small subunit ribosomal RNA
Source: RNAcentral
GUAGGUGGCAAGCGUUGUCCGGAAUUAUUGGGCGUAAAGCGCGCGCAGGCGGGUUCUUUAAGUCUGAUGUGAAAGCCCACGGGCUCAACCGUGGAGGGUCAUUGGAAACUGGAGAACUUGAGUACAGAAGAGGAAAGCGGAAUUCCACGUGUAGCGGUGAAAUGCGUAGAGAUGUGGAGGAACACCAGUGGCGAAGGCGGCUUUCUGGUCUGUAACUGACGCUGAGGCGCGAAAGCGUGGGGAGCAAACAGGAUUAGAUACCCUGGUAGCCCACGCCGUAAACGAUGAGUGCUAAGUGUUAGGGGGUUUCCGCCCCUUAGUGCUGCAGCUAACGCAUUAAGCACUCCGCCUGGGGAGUACGGCCGCAAGGCUG